This 252-nucleotide unclassified non-coding RNA is filed under the name air metagenome. RNAcentral's name for it is "partial contains small subunit ribosomal RNA, internal transcribed spacer 1, and 5.8S ribosomal RNA". The stretch from base 1 to 46 matches the Rfam family "Eukaryotic small subunit ribosomal RNA", at positions 1786 to 1831 of the family's 1831-position model. The record is from RNAcentral.
AAGUCGUAACAAGGUUUCCGUAGGUGAACCUGCGGAAGGAUCAUUACCGAGUUCUCGGGCUUCGGCUCGAAUCUCCCACCCUUUGUGAACAUACCUCUGUUGCUUUGGCGGCUCUUUGCCGCGAGGAGGCCCUCGCGGGCCCCCCACGCGCGCUUUCCGCCAGAGGACCUUCAAACUCCAGUCAGUAAACGUCGACGUCUGAUAAACUAAGUUAAUAAACUAAAACUUUCAACAACGGAUCUCUUGGUUCUG